Long non-coding RNA from Ficedula albicollis (Collared flycatcher), 354 nucleotides. RefSeq lists it as uncharacterized. NCBI's taxonomy places the organism in Eukaryota, Metazoa, Chordata, Aves, Passeriformes, Muscicapidae. The record is from RefSeq and is a predicted model, not a curated record. The transcript is spliced from 4 exons.
AGCAGCUGAGCGAGGACAAAGCUCCCAGAACCGACGGCUCCGACAACUCCAGCUCCGAGAACGAGGAAGGCACGGAAGGAGAAUCCGGAGAAAAGGAGGAAUCCAGAGGGGAAGGGGAGGAUGAGGAAGGAAGAGAUUCCGAGAAAGGGCUGCCAGAGGAGGUGUCCCAGAUUUCCCAGCUGAGGCAGAAGCUCCAGGCCGGGAGGAAAUCCCAGGAUCGGCAGAAGAAGCGGCACCGGGACCGGAUGGUGGAGAGGUAAACCCUGGCAAUUUGGGAUUCUGGGAAUAUUUCCCCCGUUUGCCUUUUUUAGGAAUUUUUGCCUUUUUUAGGGAUUUCACCCACCCUUUUCUAGG